RNAcentral lists this ribosomal RNA (129 nucleotides) under uncultured bacterium. RNAcentral's name for it is "partial 16S ribosomal RNA". The record is from RNAcentral.
UAGUACCGUCAGCUCACAACGCAUCAUGAGGUUUCUUCCUAUAUAAAAGCAGUUUACAACCCAGAGGGCCGUCUUCCUGCACGCGGCAUGGCUGGUUCAGACUUGCGUCCAUUGACCAAUAUUCCCUAC